This 22953-nucleotide long non-coding RNA is filed under the name Eucalyptus grandis. RNAcentral's name for it is "long non-coding RNA (EGRA_LNC001266)". Lineage: Eukaryota; Viridiplantae; Streptophyta; Magnoliopsida; Myrtales; Myrtaceae. The record is from RNAcentral.
CUCUCCUAGAGGGAGCUCGUCGUCGUCUCUGAACACGCGAACUCUCGCUUCUCGGAGUUGCUCGUAGAGGUGGCUCGUAAAGCCCUUGCGAGAGUCUGGACCUCUGAAGCUUAAAAACACAUCAUAAUCACAUCCUGGCGAAGCAUCUGAUGAAACUGGGGACUCGGAAACCGGCUUCUCCACGAAGGUAAUUGCUGUUCUCUUCACCUUUAGAAAUUCUGAGGGAAUGAAAACUGAAAGCAAGAUUAAUCGGAUGCUAAACCACUGCAAAAGAAUGAAAGAUCUGAGGAUACAGAUUUCCUCUCUUUCUAUAAUGUACUCGCGUAUUAAAUUUAAUGGAGGGAAACAAGUCAAGGUCCAUCCUGGAGGUGUCCUACCAGACAUAGUAAAUAAAUCUCUUCCAGUCAGGAGUAGGUGGUUUAACGUGGACCAGUCAUUUAUUGAGAUGCACGUGAAAAACACAUUGAGUCCAUCACCUCCGCAUAUAUCAACGAAUUUAUCAAGGUACUAAUGUGAACUAAUUUUAAAAAAUAUCAUAUUUGAAAGUUGAUGUAGUAUAUAAUAAUUAAUAAUUAUAUUUGUCUCAUAAUUCAUCGGCUUUCGUGUCCAACUGUUGACGGGCUAAGACUUAAUCUUUCUCUUGGUGAUUUUCUUAUUGGAAGGGAUUAAAAGUAAACAAUAUCAGAGUAAAAAAUUAAUUGGUGCGAGAAGGAAGAAACAGAUGUAGAGAUAUAAACGACUUUCGAAAUGAAAGGGACUAAACAAGAAAAAAAAGGAACCACCAAAGAAAAUCCUUCUCCUUCCCUUUUUCUGGAAGAAUGGAGGUUCUAGACAAAAUUGCUGAAAAGUUUGGCCCCUAUUUGUUUCAAUUGUUGUUGUAGUCCACAGACACAACAAAGUGGAGAUUUAAGUUGGGACAUUUUGAUAUAGAAUAUAUCUAAAUUGAAGGGGAGCAAACUAACACUAAGGUCACUUGUAGGGCAAAAAUUAUUAAGAUGUACGUGUGAAUUAUGCUAGGAAAAUCCAAAAUUAGAGAAUUUGUAUGUUGUAAAACAAUUAUAAUCACAAUCAGCCCACAAUUUAUUUACAUAAUUUUUUAAGGGAAAGUGUAUCUAAUUGGAUAUAUUGAUACAUUUAGACAUUUCUUCUCAAUUUAACGAAAAAUACUAAAGUUGGAUUAAGUGGGGAAAUUCAACUUAAGAAUGGACAGCUGCAACAACCGCUAGCAUUUGAAAUAGUGAAUGUUUUUGGAAGAGUCAAGAGAAUUAGAUUUUGGAACAAUUUAGGGUGCGUUUGGGAGAAGCUUUCGAAGGAGUUUUGGGCAUCAAAAGCUCCUUGGACCAAAAUAAGAGUGUUUGGGCUUUCAGCUUUCUUGGCAUGUCCACGCGAUACUGUUCAUUCUUUUUUUUUUUCCGAAAUUGUCCUCACCAAUUUUUUAUUUUUCCAUUUUUUGCCCUUGUAUGAGAUUGCUCAUCUUCUCCGGGCCGGUUUGGUUCUACCUGACUGCGAGGGGCCGGCGACUGCUAGAGGGACAUCCUAGGCAAUCGUCGUCAAAGAGUCGGGCAACCUCCGCGAGUCGCGGCGUUGCAUGACCAUUCGUGAGUCGCGGCGACUCAACGACCAUGGCGAGGGGCCGCCCCGACGAUUGCCUGACCCCCAGCAAGUCGGCAGCCCAGAUCUGGGCCGCGGCGGCUCAAAUUUGAGUUGCCGCGACCCAAAUCCUCACCGAUCUGGGUGGGAUUUCCCUAGGAAUUUGGUUAGUCCUCAUAGGAUAUUCGAUCUGGGGAGCUUUCGCUCCGAGAUAUCCACCAAAAAGAGUAAGCGGAACUGACAUGCAGAACCAGAGCAACAGCAGGAUAACGAAAGAGAAAACGGGAUAGCUCCAGUGCUGUGACUACCCCACAAGCGAAAAUUCAGAACAGUCAGGAUCAAAAACGCUAUACCGGGGAAGAAGCACGACACCCAUCCCUUGUGAUCACCAGAGCUGAUGGUCCUCCAAAGUCGGACAGCAACAUAACCAGCAACAACACCAAGAAUCAUGUAGAAGAACAGCAUAUCUCUCGAUCCGCGUCAAAUCUGGACGAACCCAGUUGCGAAAGCAAGCUAAUCAGGCAAUGCAAAGAGCAAACCCCCAUCUGGGUUCGACGAUAUCACUCAUGAACGGCGUCAACACGCACAAAAAACGACUAAAAACACACAGCAAAAGAUCCCGACUCGCACUAGCAGCUGCUCGAACACCUAGAAAGAUCAAGAAACGACAACAGAACAAGCGCGCACGAAUGUCGCGAAGGGCACUGCAGAUCUGACUGACCUUCUAUAAAGGAACGCGCAUAGAGAGGGAGGGAGAGAGCAGGGGAGACUCGGGGGCAACCACAACGCCAGAAAGUUUAAAAUUUUGGCCUUUAUUUAUUGCUGGGGAAGGAGGAAGUCGAGAAGAUGCGAGACGCGAUGAUAUUUCUAGGAUCCGUCCGAUGGCGGUUUGACGUCUUUGCGUGAGCACGCUGAAAUGGGGAAUACGUACCGCGGGGGGCACACUCCUACUGCCGAUUCUUUCCCCCUUCCCCUUUCUUUCUCUCUCUCUCUUUCUUUUCUCCCCUUUUUCCUCCACACGUCACUUCCAAAUCCCCCCUCCCGCCCCGCAACCAAAUCUAGAACUGAUGAUAUUGAUUCCAUCGUCUCUGUUAGAGACUUCAUGGGAGCUUCCUUUAAGAACUUCAGAGAUCAUUUCCUUCUGCAAGUGCACAAUGCCCUCAUGCGAUUCCGUUUCUCGGAUAUCAGCUAAGAAGCCAUGGCGCUCAAAUUGGCUUGACAGUUUAUUGUAGAUGACUUUGGCAAGAGUAUCUCCGAAUAUCUCCGAAUGUAGUAUCUACCAUAGUCAUAAUUUUUUUUCACAUGAAUGCCCACUCCCACCAAGUGUUUAGGGGUCACUAACUUAAAAACUUUCUUUAACUCGCUCAAAACCUUCACAACAACCGCUUUUAUGAGUUCUGCCUCAUUCCUGUCAAAAUGGUGUUAUGAUUGAGAUCAUGAACAAAUAUAAUGAGUAAAACUUACUAGAACAAACUCAGACAAUAAGCAACAAGAUGAAUUGGCAAAUUAAUAAUGGUCGAUAGUCUAAACAACUAUUGUACUUUGCCAUAUAUUAAUCAACUUAUAUGAAAAGGGAUUUGGAAGUACCCAAUAGCAAUAUUUACGGAUACCAGUCCUUUCAAGGAUCCAACUUCUAUGAGUGCUUGUCUCCAUUCCUGAACGACGCUAUCCUCAAAACGCUGCUUGUAUGAGUUGAAGACAUCUCCAAAGGUUCCUUUGAGCCACUUCUCAUCUGCGGGCUCUACUUUAUAGAAUAUGGGCAAGAUCACUUGUUUCAUCUCUUUCUUGCACUUGAGCAUCCGAACGAGCUCAAAAAGGCAUCAUUUGCUGGAAGCAUAGCAUUCCGAGAGAAUUGGGGUCGAGAUCUUGCUGUUGUCGAUGGCCUGGAAAAGCUGUGGGCCAAUCUCCUCUCCUAGAGGGAGCUCGUCGUCGUCUCUGAAUACGCGAACUCUCGCUUCUUGGAGUCGCUGGUAGAGGUGGCUCGUGAAGCCCUUGCGAGAGUCUGGACCUCUGAAGCUUAAGAACACAUCAUAAUCACAUCCUGUUGAAGCAUCCGAUGAAACUGGGGACUCGGAAACCGGCUUCUCCACGAAGGUAAUUGCUGUUCUGUUCAUCUUUAGAAAUUCUAAGAGAACGAAAACUGAAAGCAAGAUUAAUCGGAUGCUAAACCACUGCACAAUAAUGACAAAGCUGAUGAUACUGAUUUCCUCUCUUUCUAUAAUGUACUGACGUUCUAAAUUUAAUGGAGGGAAACAAGUCAUGGUCCACCCUCGAGGUGUCCCAUCAGAGAUGGGAAAAACUAGGGGUGAGCAUGGUCUGAGUUGGUCCGGGCCACUCCCUAACCUUAAGACCAACCCGUACAGUGUCGGUCCUCAAUUUUUAGGAUCGAGGACUGACCCUACUAAGUCUGGGACCAAGGACCGACCCAAUGGGUUCGGUCCGGUUCCAGGGUCAACCCGGGACGGAUCGAUAAUUUAUUUCGUCUUGUUUUUUAUACUCCCUAAAAAAGUAAACCUACAAAUUCAAAUUACACAUCCAUCGACAAUGCGGCAUUGUGCAACUAAACUAUAAAUACCAAUACAAGAUCUCAAAUGAAGCACAAAGUAGAUAUCACUAGUCAAGUUGUGUUUGGAAAGCAAGGGCAAGCUGAGCAUUAGGGUUUCUAAUUAGGGCUUCUUCUUUUUUCCUUUUGAUUUACUCGGCGAUAAGUGAGGUGACUGGCGUGAGUGGCGAGCGCAAGUGUCAAGUGUUGAGUGGGGUGAGUGUCAACUGGCAAGCGGUAAGCGUUUAGUGAGGCCAGCGGCAAGCGGCAAGUGUUGAGCAAGACUAGCGGCGAGUGGUAAGUGGCGAGCGUUUAGUGAGGCCGGCGACGACAGCAAAGGGCGAGUGGUGAGUGGCGAGCGGCAUGAGCAGCGUGCACGGUCAAAGGUGAGCAGCGCGGGCAACCAGAGGUGAGCGGGAUGUUGCUACUUUUGAUUUUGACAAAUUGAAGAACAAAGAAUACAAAAUGGAAGAGAACGUACUUUAGGGAAGAAAGCCGUGAGGAGAUUUACGGCAUAAACUUUGCACCAUUUUGGACGUCGUGAGUCCAUGACUAUGAGGAGUCCUUGAUCCUCACGGUGAAGAAUGUACUAUGGAGUCUAGACUGUGGAGGAAGAGGCCGUGAAGACCUUACGGCGUAAACUUCACGCCUUUUGGAAUUGGAUGCCGUCUGUCCAUGACUGUGAGCAUGAGGAGUCAACAACUUUAACAUCAUUUUACUUAGGUUUGAAUAUAUAAAAGAAUUAUAUAUAAUAUAAUAUAACAUAAAUUUUACUUAGGUUUGAAUAUAUAAAAGAAUUAUAAAUAAUAUAAUAUACAGGAUUGGUCCAGGGUUGGACCGACCCAAAACUCUCAGGACCGAGGACCAACCCGCACAGUGUUGGUCCUGGAAUUUCAGGACCAAGGACCGACCCAGUCCCCUUGGGAACCGGACCAGGACCAGCAGGGUUGGGCCGGUCCAGGGUCGGUCCAGGGUCGAUCCUAAACCGUUGCUCACCCCUAGGAAAAGCAUCUUAUUUCAGGUGUAGCUGGUUUAACGUGACAGGUCAUUUAUUAAGAUACACGUGAACGACAAAUUUAGUCUUCACCUCCACAUAUGUCAAUCUAAUUUAUUGAUAUACACGAAUGACUUAGUUAAGAAAAAUCUCGCGUUUGGAAAUUGGGGUAGGAUAAAGCUGUUAAUAAUUUUCUUUGAAUUAUAAUUCAUUGACUUAAAUUUUUUUGAAAAUGUGGAUUCAAUUAUUGACGGACUCGAACUUGACCUCUCCUUUAGUGAUUUCUUUCGAUGAAGGUACCGAAAGCAAUGCUGUUAAAGCCAAUAAUUAAUUGGUCCAAGGAAGAAGAAAUAGAUCUAGACAUAGAAACAACUUUCGAAACAAAGCAAAAUAAAUAGGAACAGGAGUAAUCCAUCGAAAAAUAUCCUUCUCCUUCCCUCUUUUUCAAAGACAGGAGGAUUUGGACAAAAUCGAUGAAAGGUUUGAACUGCAAUUUGUUUUAUGUAUUGCCGUUGCGGUCCUCACAUGCAACAAAGUGGAAUUUUAAGUUGAGACAUUUUGAUGGAGAAUAUAUCUGAAUUGAGGGGGGAGCAAACAAACAUUGAUGUCACACGUAAGGGAAAUAUUAUUGAGAUGCGCCUGUAAGUUGUGUAAGACAAGUCCCACAUUAGAGAACUUUUGUGUGGUAAAAUAGUUGAUAAUCACACUCAGCCCACAACUUAUUCAUUUAGUAAUUUAAGUGAAGGUAAAUUCAAUUGGAUAAGUUGAUAAACUUGGACAUUUCUUCUCAAUUUAAUGAAGAAUGCCAGGUUUGAUGGGAACCUAUCAUUCAAAAACGACACAAAUAGUUCCUUUACUCUAAUAAAAUGUGUAAUUCAUCUUUAGAUUUUUAAUUCAUUCAAUGUAGCCAUUAAACUAUUUUUUUAGUACUAUCAUAAGUUUUCAUAAUUACACUACUACUUAGAUUUUAGGAUGUCUUUUUCAUUUCAAUCCACUUCCUAAAUUUAAAAAAAAAAAUUCAAUAUUUUCAUCGCCUUUUUACUUUUUAUGUCUUUAUAAAUAUUACUAUAAUUUGAUUUAAGUAUAUUUUAACUUCAGGUCUCUAUAAUAGUAAAAAUAUACCCCCAUUUAUAGUUAUAUUGGUUCCAUAUUCCUUUUGUUUCAAAAUAAGUGUUUCAUAAGAAUAUUUAACAACAACAACAACAACAACAACAACAACAACAACAACAACAACAACAACAACAACAACAAAAACUAUAAUUUAUGUAUACAUUUCUUGUACUUAUAUUAAUCUAAAUUGUGUUAUUAAUUUUUCAUAUAAAUACAAUUUUCAAGUUUUGGGGUUUUGUGUUUCCUUAAUUAAAUUUAGCUUUAUGUAAAUUAGGAAAUUAAAACAACAUGAAUAUCAACCCAAUACAACUCUAAAUGAGGUUCUACUUUCAUUAUUAAAUAUAUUAUAAGCUAAAAUAUACUAAAAUGGAACUAUCGUAAUAUUUAUAAAGACAAAAAAUGUGAAAAAGUAACAAAAAUAUAGCCAUAUAUUGUGUUAAUUUAAGAAAUGGAUCAGAAAUGAAAAGUUAUUUUAAAAUGAGGGCAAUAGUAUAAUAAUGAAAAAAAAUUGAAUUUUUUAAUGUAAAGUUGAAAUAUUAUAUUGAACAAAUUAAAAGUUUAUGAACUAAUCAAAGUCCAUAUAAGAGGUAUUCGUUUAUCAUCUACUUCUCCUAUCUUUGGAACUCCCACUCACUGCAAGGAUUCUUCUUCAGACUUCUUAAGGGUGGGCUUUGCCCGGAGCUUGGGAGCCUUGAGUCAACGUGCUAAUUCUUAGCCAUAGCAGAUCGAGAGCUCAUUCGGGAACUUAAAGUGAUAUGUACAGAGAAUACUUUUAUUGAUUGGCCCCCGUCAAACGUCUGUUUCUGGUCUUCUUGUUCACGCACUCGCAUGUAUCAACCCUUCAUCGACAAUGGACAUGCUUGAUUUCUGCCUUCUCGUGGGUCCCGUCCUCAAUUCCAGUCACAGAUAAUCAGGCCUAGUCUAGCCUUCCAAUCUACAGUGCGUAGCUGGAAUCUGGAGUUUCACUGCAUGCCUUAAGGAUCGAAAUAUUUCUUUUUUAUGAAUGGAUGAUCAAGACACUAGUAUAAUUUACAUUAACUAGCUGUGUAAGUUUGCUCUAGGCCUAUCAGAAUGGGUCAUAACCCCAUGAUGUAACUCAAUUUUACUUGAGUGGAUCAUAGAUGUGUCAACUGAAAUGUGAAAUAUAGAUUUAAAUGGGUUUUAAAAUGAAAAAAGGGGGGGGGGGGGGGGGUUUAAUGUUCGGAUAGAAACCUACCUCCAACCAUAGCAAACUAACUUUGCUCCCUCUUGAGUCUUGAAGAGUUCUUGUUGAGUCGCUCCCACUUCGCUCCUCUCUUCUUGCCCUCUCUCCAUGUUCGAUUCCAGUGAUCGCCAGACAUCAUUCUCCAUCUUUGGUGAGCUCUCUUUAUCCUCUUUGAUCCCAACUGAUCGGCGUCACCACUGGCCCCCGCUGCCUAUUUCUGGCGUCUUCUCCGAAGAUUUCUGAUCAUUGAAGUUAAUUACUUAUAAAAUUUCGGAUGGUUGUUUUGGCUUGGUCAAAUUUGAGGAGGUUGCUCUUUCAUUUCCAGAGCCUUUUCAAUUUUACGUUGGUCUUUUGUUGAAGUUGACACAAGGAAGGAGGUCAAGGGACUAGACAGAGCGAGGUAAGAGAGGAAAGUCUUCCCUAUACAAGUUUAUUAUUAUAAUCACGGAGAGUUGAAACCACGCCUCGUCCCAACCUCUUGAAAAAAUAAUGAUUCGAACCCCCAACCGUGGUCAUUGGGCAAGCCCCAAUUCAGCGCUGCUGCUUAGGGCGACUUAAUCGUGAGCUUUUACUCACAAUUCAGCGCUGCUGCUUAGGGUGACUUGCUCUUUAUGGUACGCCUAACUCAAGCCGAACCAACAUAUCCAUGAUCUUAAUUUCUUGAGAUUGAGGAAUGAUCAUAAUGCUCUAACUUGUGAUCAAUGAAGAUUGAUCAUCCUUUGCCUCACCUAUGCCCUUAUCCAUAACUCGACCCCCAAGCUCCCUCAAAUCAUGGGGUUGACCAUUCAAUUGAAGAACUUAAAGUGAGUUAAAAGAGUGAGUACGUGCUCUUUCUAUGUUAAAUUAAAUAUGGAUGUGUACUAGUAAUAUGAGUCAAGUCGGGUUUGAGUUAGAUUUGGAUUAGGUUAAGUAUGGGCUACUAAAAUUGCAUUAUACAUAAAUGGGUUGAUAUGAGUUAAAUGGGUCAAUUUAGAUCUCAACCAAAACCUAACCUAACUUGCCAAUUUGACGGCUCUACUUUGCCCACAUCUUUUUGCACAAGACCAAUUUUCAGCAAUAUAUUUCUCCAGCGAGCGUAUUUCUUAAAUGGAAAUACUUCAAGUUUCCAUGUAAAAGGUCAACGACUCACGUUUUCCUGCAGAAUACUCACUAAGCAAACUGUGAGUUCUGUUUAGAGGUCUCGGUCAACUCUAGUAGUAGAUUUAACGUUUGAUCCAGUAAAGCAACGCCGAAUAGAAUCAAUGUCAAGGUCCGUGAUGGUAGCUUACUUCUAGGUCCACAUUUUGGUAUUAUCCAUCUUUUGAUAAGUUUGAAUUUAGGUGAUUUCGAAUUGAUCACUCAUUUUGCAGAACCUAAGGCUUAAUUCUUUUAUUUUUAUGUAAUGAGAUUAGUUAAGGGAGAGAUAUGAUUUAAAUUUGCUUAUCCAGAUAAUCACGGUAUGUUCUUAAACUCAUUCCGCGAAGAUACUAAAGACAUUAUGACGAUAUGAGGGUAGAGAGACUCGUGAUGACGUGCAAGGAUAAGCCAAUGAGGGAGGUCUACACCCUGGGAACAAGUUUAUUUGGGCUUUGGCUGAAGGAGGUCAUGACAUGUGUUUUGGGUUUUAAUUCUUUUCUCAGCUCAGUUUAGCUUGUUUUACAGAAAAACGAGUUGUCCACACCGAAUUGGACCCAUUAAAUUCGAGUGACAAAAGAUCCAUUUUUUUGGUUUUAUUCCAAACGGGCGAAAAUUCAUUUCAUGAGCUUAACCGAACACUAGAAAAUACUAUCAUUUUUCUCUUUGAAGAAUAUUUUUCCAAAAGCAUCAUAUUUUUGCAAAGCAAAUGGAUCCUAAGUGCAAGACCAAGAUACCCAAUACAAUACAGUUUUGUUGAACCACAUCCUAGCAACUUAUGAACAGGAAGAUCUAUAUUUUAUCCAGAACAGAGUAAAGCAAUGAAGAGCCUCAUAUAUAUGGGACUACGGCUAUGUGCAAAGUCCAGUGCAACUUUGCUACAUGAUGCAUGCCAGAGAAGGCAAUUGUUCGAAGAAUAAGAAAACAAGAAAAAAAAAAACUGACAAAAAGAAAGAGAAUAACGAUUAAUUACACUAAUCAUACAGUUUCCUCAAUUCGUGUCUGGGAAAGCGAUUUGAAGAAAACUUUUUUCAGGUGCUGAUUGAAGUCAGUAGAGCCCAAAUUCCCGAGUCUCUAUCUGUAGAAGUUCCAUGGCUAGGAGUGAAGAAGUUCCUUGAAAAGCUCGGUUUUUGUUAACCAACUGCACAAGAACGCUAAGAAGCAAAAUUUUCGAAGGAGUUCUUACAAAUGCUUCCCAGAGAGUACAAAAUUUUCGAAGGAGUUCUUACAAAUUUUCGAAGGAGUUCUCCAGGGUGUACUUCUGCAGGAAUUUUGACAGCAUAUGAAUCAGAUCGUUGAAGGAUUUACUUUAACUUCUCAUUUCUGCUUGCAUCUUUUACAAAUAACAGCUCCUCUUUUGUUUGCCUGGGAAGUGACGCCAUCACUUUUGUCCCCUCUUAAGUUCAGAAAUGCAUCACCUUCAGUCUCUUAAUAAGUGAUCAGUGAGUGCAACGCAAAUAUUUGGUAUGAGGUCACCUUUACUUGAGUGUGUUGUUGCUCCUGAACUCUGCAUUUGCCUGCAACUAUGAUGCACAAAUGCAUCUGGAAUCUGUUGAGAAUAUUGGAUUCCUAUACCCUGAUGUUCACAGUUAUACUACUUCGUUUUUCCGUGUACUAGUAUGCCAUUGCUAAUAUCAAGUUAAGUAUUUGCUGAUGAAGAGCUUAAUAACCAAUGGACUUCUCGACUGUUGAAGCUUUCCACAAAUCCAAACAAUUACCAUGGGAUGGAGAAAAGUUCAGUGUCAUGGAUCAUAAACGGAAAGGAGUGUUGAAAAUUCUGUAAUCACCUCAAGGCGGUCUUCCUGUUCAUUGAGUUUUAGACCCUAUGAAGUUUUGUGUGGUUAUAAUUAUGUUUCAUGAGAUGCACGGUAUGCAUUGUCAUUGGACCAAAAUCUAAUUUUAAUCAAAUUAAAAAAAAAAAAAAAACACAUUUAGGGAAAACCAACACAAUAGAUAACAUGCUCAAGCUUCUUGUGGACGACAGACUCUGGCUUCACGAGUCUCUGGUACAGGGGACUGGUGAAGCCCUUCCAUGAAUUUGGACCUCUGAAGCUCAAGAAAAUAUUGUAAUUGCAUCAAGCAGGAUCAUUUGAUGAAGUGGUUAUUAAUUCCUCAGCGAAACUGCUUGGCUUUGGUCUUCUUUUCUUACACACGAACACAAAAGGCAAGACUAAUGCAAAAGGCACCACGAUAGGAAGAAGCCACAUUGUCUAUUCCUCAAUAUUCUCUAACCUACUCACCUCCUCCAGAUGAUCAAGAAAAGAUUCGAUGCCAAAAAUUGCUAACUCUUUCCUCUCUAUUCUAAAUCUUCAGUCCCCUGCUUCGGAUUUAAAACAGGAAUCCUCCAUUUCGUCUGUUGAUUGGGCAGAAAAGAGUCAAAGUCGGGGCAGAGGUACUAAUAUUUCAUCGGUUGCUUCUCUCUUUCCAGCUCAAGACAAUCUUUUUCAGAGUCUUCGAGUUCACAUGCUCACUGGUCAGUUAACUAAUGAAGCAUUAAGUAUCCACAAUUUUGUUGGAUGUCUUUCCUGUUAAUCUCGUCCUUAAAACAAGGAAUUAUCAGGGUAAGUAAAGCCAAACAUCUAGAGUUGCAACAGCGCGAGGAAUUGUCCAAGUAAACACUAUAAAAUUGGUGCUGCUAUAUCUUUAGAUCUCAUUAGUGAUGAUCAUAGAUUUCUUUUUUCUUUUUUGUAAUUUGGGGGGGGGGGGGGGAUGGGGAAGGGGGGUGGGGGCGGGGGAGGGGAGUUGAAUAUUUUGGCUCGAGUAAUCCAUGUAUGUACGUGAACCUCUCAGUCAUGCAUCGAUUAAGGAUCUGCCUCAUCCAAAAUGCUUGACCACAGAACCAGCCCCCCACGGUUAGAUUCAGAGAUAUUCACUUUCACAUAAUACGAAGGAUAAUUCAAUCCCACGUAUCCCAGAAAGAGGAACUCCUGUCUAUUCCUAAUUUGACGAAUGAUUGAUGAGGGGAUUUUUCCGAAGUGCACUGAUGGUUAUCUAGAAGAUCUAUAGUCGACUAAUCGAGUCACACCGUCAUUCCUAGAUGAAUGUACUCCAUGAUAAUGCAUAAAUUGGCAAUAUGCAAGUUGUUGCUGGCAACGGAAAAAAACACUUUGAUGUAGGGCCAGUUUAGAAUACAAAAGCAACCCAAGAGACAAGUGCAGACAAACAAAAUUUAAUGCAAUAGUUGCUAAUGCAUGGGUUACUGAUCAAUGAAGCAGACUUGGGAGUUGGUCUUUGGAACUGAUUGUUGCAAGCCACACAGACAUAAUAGAAAACAAGUAAACUGCAGCUGGUCACUAUACCCGGCCAAAAGGAAACAAAAAACUACAGCUAGUCAAAUCACAUGGCAAAGAAGAUAGAACAUCACCAUGUCUGUGAUGGGAAAAGACAUAGGAAUUUAUUGGGGUGGCCAAGAACAAAUCGACGGUGAAUGGUAACUCAAAACAGAAUUCAGUUCUUAAUGUUGAACGGGGGAAAAAGGUCAGGUAAUGGUUCAGAGGCAAAAAGACAGUUGCAACUUCCAAAUCACCUCAAAACGAUCUGGCCUGGAUCCUCGUAGUCAGAUGAUGAACAUACUUGGCGUGUUCUGUUAGGUAAUUCUGGGGGUUUCAGGAAGUUGCAUCCAGAGAAAUCCACAAUGCUUAAGCAUCUCAACCCUCCAAGCCCCUGGAGCUCUGUUAGUUUCCCACAAUGUCGUACUUUUAGAUCUUCCAAAAGUUGUAAACCUGACAAAUCUGGUAAGUUCUCAAGCAUCUCGCACCAUGAAAUGUUAAUAAAUUUUAAUGAUCUUGCUCGAUUAAGCCCUGGAACAUCCACAAGCUGUGGACAUUUAUUCAGGGUCAAGUAUUCUAAAUCUUCAAAUUCCGAAAGAUCUGGAAUGUUUACAAUUGACUUGCAUUUUUCAAUACAUAGUCUUUUGCAUGAAGAGAAUGCCUCAAGCGUUUGGAUAUCAUGGAUCUUCUCACAGCCACUGAUGUUCAGAUAUUGCAAGGCUCCAGGGCACGGUAGUUCUGGUAAACUUUCCAAAGAGCUACAGUCAGAGAGGUCCAACAUUUCCAAGCGUUCAGCUUUAUAAAGGUCCGUUAUUUCAACUAACUUCUUGCAACCCCCAGCUUCUAUUCUCUUCAGACCAUUUAAGUUAGAAAAGUCCGGUAACCUCUCAAUGGAAUAACACUCGGAGAUAUCCAGUUCUUCCAAGUAUUCCCAUCUAUCAAGGCCUUGAAUUCCAACCAGAUUCUCACAAGCCGCAGCAUCAAAUUUCUUCAGAAAUUUCAAAUCCGAAAGAUCCGGUAAUGUUUCUAAUGCUUUACAACCCCGUAUGAUGAUCGAUCUUAAUGAGACUAAACGUUCAAGGCCCUCCAGCUUAUAUAGCUUUUCACAAAAUGAUGCUGUCAAAGCAGUUAGGCAAACAAGUUCUUCAAGCCCUUUGAUUUCAGUUAACUCAGAGCAACUGUGGAGAUGCAAUUCUGAUAAGCGUUUAAAAUUUGACAAAUCUGGAAAUCUCUCCAAAUCUGGACCUUGGCUGACUUCAAGCUUCAACAGACUUGAGGGAAGAUCUGGGAGCCAUUUUAUGUCAUCAUGAAGUUCAAUGUGGAGAUCAACAAGUUGAGAGAGGGUCUUCAUCGUAGUUAAGGCACUCAAAUCCUUGACUUUCAUUGAUAAUUGUGUUAGAUUGAUUAGGUUGGCAAUAUCUGAGAUUAUCUGACAAGCGAAAUGUAGACUUGUUAAGCUUGAGGGAAGCUCUGGCAGAUAUUGUAGCUCUUCGCAUUUCCAUAAAUCAAGCUCUUGGAGACAUGAUAACUUGUGAAUGCUUUUUGGCAAACUGGAAAUGCGGGUCUUUUUUAACCGAAGGACUCGCAGUGAAGAUAAAUCCCCUAUCUCACUAGGGAUUUCUCCUUGCAGAUAUUUACACCCUGAGGCAUCUAACUCUUCAAGCUUCUUCAACCUUCCCAUGGUUCUUGGUAAACUUUCUAAGAAUAUAUUAGUCAUGAGCAGAACUUUCAAAUUGUGCAGAUUCCCAAUGGAGUAGGGCAGCUCCUUAAUAGCCGAAUGUGAUAAAUGCAGUUGGGUUAAUGAUGUCAAUUGUCCAAUGGAGUCGGGCAGUGUUUCCAAUGAGUUGCAUUCCUGUAGCAGCAAGCUAUACAAGUUCCAGAGGGAUUUUAUGGAGCUGUCAAUUCGAACCAAUGAUCUACAAUUACGAGCAGAAACAAUCUCAAGCUUCCUCAUGCGACCUAUGGACAUGGGAAUCUCUUUUAUGGAACUGUCAUCAAUAAGAAGCUCCGUCAAGUUUGUUAGUCUCCCCAUUUCUUCAGGUAGCUCCUUGAGUUUGUCACAUCCCUUCAGACUCAAGGAUACGAGUUUCGUGAUACUCCUGAUAGAAGGAUGAACUUUGACUAGAUUAACACAAUAUUCAAGAUUCAAGAUCUCAAGAUUCCGGAGAGCUGAGAAGUCAGGAGUUUCAGUCAAAUUCUCGCAGUGCAGAAGCCUCAGAACUUUGAGCUGGUUCGCAAUCCACCACAAACAAAAUAUAGCAACGUUAGCUCUUGGAUUUAUCAUAUACCUCGCAAAAUUCAAAAGAAGAUGGAGAUUUACCUUCGGUAAUCCAUUCACAUGGUGCCAUGCGUCCCAGUGCUCUGUGAGACUACUGGCUCUUACGUUGAGAAUAACCAAGUUCUCCGGAUGAAAGUCUGGUGGAAAAAAAGACGUUGGGCAGGCAAUCCAAUCAAGCCAUCUUAAAUUAGGAAGAAGGCCCUUGAAAUGGCCCGUGACUUCCGCCUGCUUGAUACGAAGGUACCUUAAGUUCGGCAGUUUUCUAAACUGCUCAUUUGUUAAGCAGUAUAGUUUAGAAAGGGAAGGGGAAUACUCAAGACGGAGGGCCUCGAUCUGACUCGUUCCCUGCAAGUGCCCAGAAACUGAGGAAUAAGUGCGCCGCGCAAGACCGAAUGGAGGCUAAUUAAAAGCGUGAAAAAUUGUUCCGUUUGUUCCAUACGUAAUAUUUGGUAUAACUGUACAUCCAUCCAAUUUAUAACAGAACUCUAAGGAUCAUACAUCCAUCCAAUUUAUAACAGAACUCUAAGGAUCGUAAAAGCAUUGACUCCAGGCAUGCUCCAUUACCAUAUAUGGGAACUCUUUGAAUUAUUUCAGUUCGACUGCUUUCUAGAUUGACUGGCUUUUCUGGUUUUGAUCGAUUUUCUUGCAGGGGUCAAACAGGAUAGAGAACAUAACCGGUACCCGGUUGAACCGAUUGUGUGUGAUUGUGCCAUGUAGCAACCUAAGAUAUUAUCCCGCUGAAUCAGACAAUGUCUGACAAUGUCUAAACAUGAAUAUACAAGUUAGGUUGGAUGUCUACGUUUUCAUUUUGGGGUCUAUUAUGAGAGAGACACGAUUUGACAUGAAUAGCUUGACCUCACAUCAGCGGUAUUGUGCCUAAGCUGAUGUUGUCACAAAUUUGCUGAUUCUACCCACAACCUUCGUUUUUUUAAAACUAGACUCCACACUUUUAGGCCACUUUUAUAGCCUAAAAGAGGCAGGUAAAAAGUAGAGAGUUGAAAACAUUGUACCUCAUUUCUCUCGAGCACUUUCAAAGCUUCCUCGUGAAUCCAUAAUCUACUGCGUUCACUUGGCUUGACAGAGUUUCCCUUAGAAACAAUACUUCUACCAAGAUCUCUUAACUGAUCAUGCAUCCAUAGCCGAUUUCCCCCAUUGCCAGGGACAAUUUUGACUAGGGACAUGAGACUCAGCACUUCUAGUCCCAAGUUCGGAGAGAAGCCACAGUCAUCCCACAUGUAAGUUGGAAGUCUUGGAUCUGUUCCAUUGAAAAAACAUGCAACGUCAAGGAAUAUCUGCUUCACAUCAUCAGUUAGGGUAUCAUAACUUAUCUUCAGCUUCUCUUCAACCUUCUCAUGCGGCACUUUUCUCAACUUCUCUAAUGUGUCUCUCCACGCUGCCCCGCUUUUGUCGCACAAGAGUGACCCAAUAACCUCAAGAGCCAACGGGAGCUGCCCAGUAGUUGAGACAAUAUCAUGACAAAGGUCGUUGAAGGCAGGAGGAGGGAAGUCACGUUGAAACGCAUGUCUACAAAAUAGAACCAUAGAAUUUUCUUUGUCCAAUCCCAUAAGUUCAUAUUCCCAGUCUGACGUCCCAAACUGAUUAAGAAUAUGCUUAUCUCUAGUUGUAAUAAUGAUCCUACUUCCAGAGCCAAACAACCCAUGCCCUCCUACAAGUGCAUCUAACUGAUCUUUGUGACUCACAUCAUCAAGAAAAAUGAGAACUCUCUUGCCUUCAAAUCUAGAACUGAUGAUAUUGAUUCCGUCGUCUCUGUUAGAAACUUCGUGGGGGCUUCCUUUAAGAACUUCAGAGAUCAAUUCCUUCUGCAAGUGCACAAUUCCCUCAUGCGAUUCCGUUUCUCGGAUAUCAGCUAAGAAGCCACGGCGCUCAAAUUGGCUUGACAGUUUAUUGUAGAUGACUUUGGCAAGAGUUGUUUUACCGGCACCACCCAUUCCAUGAAUUCCAAGUAUCCGUGUAUCUCCAAAUUUAGUAUCUACCAUCGUCAUAAUUUCUUUUACAUGAAUGUCCACUCCCACCAAGUGUUUAGGGGUCACUAACUUAAAAGCAUUCUUUAACUCGCUCAAAACCUUUAUAACAACCGCUUUUAUGAGCUCUGCCUCAUUCCUGUCAAAAUCGUGCUAUGAUCGAGAUCAUGAACAAAUAUCAAGAGUAAUACUUACUAGAACAAACUCAGAUAAUAAGCAACGAGAUGAAUUGGCAAAUUAAUAAUGGUCAAUAGUCUAAAAAAGUAAUGUACUUUGCCAUAUAUUAAUCAGCUUAUAUGAAUAAGGGAUUUGGAAGUACCCAUUAGCAAUAUUUUCGGAUACCAGUCCUUUCAAGGAUCCAACUUCUUUGAGUGCUUGUCUCCAUUCCUGAACGACGCUAUCCUCAAAACGCUGCUUGUAUGAAUUGAAGACAUCUCCAAAGGUUCCCUUGAGCCACUUCACAUCUGCGGGCUCUACUUUAUAGAAUAUGGGCAAGAUCACUUGUUUCAUCUCUUUCUUGCACUUGAGCAUCCGAACGAGCUCAAAAAGGCACCAUUUGCUGGAAGCAUAGCAUUCUGAGAGAACUGGGAUUGAGAUCUUGCUGUUGUCAAUGGCCCGGAAAAGCUGUGGGCCAAUCUCCUCUCCUAGAGGGAGCUCGUCGUCAUCUCUGAACACGCGAACUCUCAGUUCUCGGAGUCGCUCGUAGAGGUGGCUGGUAAAGCCCUUGCGAGAGUCUGGACCUCUGAAGCUUAAGAACACAUCAUAAUCACAUCCUGGCGAAGCAUCCGAUGAAACUGGGGACACGGAAACCGGCUUCUCCACGAAGGUAAUUGCUGUUCUCUUCACCUUUAGAAAUUCUGAGGGAAUGAAAACUGAAAGCAAGAUUAAUCGGAUGCUAAACCACUGCAAAAGAAUGAAAGAUCUGAGGAUACAGAUUUCCUCUCUUUCUAUAAUGUACUCGCGUAUUAAAUUUAAUGAAGGGAAACAAGUCAAGGUCCAUCCUGGAGGUGUCUUACCAGACAUAGUAAAUAAUAGGGGUGCGCAGCAGUCUAGGGUCGACCAUGGACCGACCCUCGACCGGCCCAACCCUGCCGGUCUUUCCAAGGGGAUUGGGUCGGUCCUUGGUCCUGAAAUUCCAGGACCGACACUAUGCCGAUUGGUCAUCGGUUCUGAGAGUUUUGAGUCGGUCAAAUCCUAGAUUAACCCUGUAUAUUAUAUUAUAUUAUUUAUAAUUCUUUUAUAUAUUCAAAUCUAAGUAAAAUUUCUAUUAUAUUAUAUUAUAUUAUUUAUAAUUCUUCUAUAUAUUCAAACCUAAGUAAAAUGAUGUUAAAGCUAUUGACUCCUCAGACUUACAGUCACAGACAGACAGCAUCCAAUUUCAAAAGGCGUGAAGUUUAUGCCGUAAAGGUCUUCACGGCCUCCUCCUCCACAGUCCAGAGUACGUUGACCAAGGACUCCUCACAAUCACGGACUCGUGACGUCCAAAAUGGCGUGAAGUUUACGUCGUAAAUCUCCUCACGGCUUCCUUCCCCAAAGUUCGUUCUCUUCCAUUCUGUGUUCUUUGUUCUUCAAUUUACCAAAAUCAAAAGUAGCAACAUUCCGCUAGCCACAUUGUGGACCCUAUCUUGUCCCAUAUCUUGAUGAGCAGUUAGUAGAUACGAAAUUUCUAUUAUUGUGUCAUCUUAAAUUUGCUGAAUAUGUAUUGAUAUUUAUAGUUUAGUUACACAAUGCCGCAUUGUGGAUGGAUGUAUAAUUUGAAUUUGUAGGUUUACUUUUUUAGGGAGUAUAAAAAACAAGACGAAAAAAAUUAUCGAUCGGUCUCGGGUCCCUGGAACUGGACCGAACCCAUUGGGUCAGUCCGGUCCUUGGUCCCAGGCUCAAUAGGGUCGGUCCUCGAUCCUAAAAAUUGAGGACCGACACUGUACGGGUUGGUCCUAGAGUUAGGGGGUGGCCCGGACCAACCCAGCCCAUGCUCACCCCUAGUAAAUAAAUCUCUUCCAGUCAAGAGUAGGUGGUUUAACGUGGACCAGUCAUUUAUUGAGAUGCACGUGAAAAACACAUUGAGUCCAUCACCUCCGCAUAUAUCAACGAAUUUAUCAAGGUACUAAUGUAAAUUAAUUUUAAAAAAUAUCAUAUUUGGAAGUUGAUGUAGUAUAUAAUAAUUAAUAAUUAUAUUUGUAUCAUAAUUCAUUGGCUUUCGUGUCCAACUGUUGACGGGCUAAGACUUAACCUUUCUCUUGGCGAUUUUCUUAUUGGAAGGUAUUAAAAGUAAACAAUAUCAGAGUAAAAAAUUAAUUGGUGCGAGAAGGAAGAAACAGAUGUAGAGAUAUAAACGACUUUGGAAAUGAAAUGGACUAAACAAGAACAAAAAGGAACCACCAAAGAAAAUCCUUCUCCUUCCCUUUUUCUGGAAGAAUGGAGGUUCUAGACAAAAUUGCUGAAAAGUUUGGCCCCUAUUUGUUUCAAUUGUUGUUGUAGUGCACAGACACAACAAAGUGGAGAUUUAAGUUGGGACAUUUUGAUAUAGAAUAUAUCUAAAUUGACGGGGAGCAAACUAACACUAAGGUCACUUGUAGGGCAAAAAUUAUUAAGAUGUACGUGUGAAUUAUGCUAGGAAAAUCCAACAUUAGAGAAUUUGUAUGUUGUAAAACAACUAUAAUCACAAUCAGUCCACAAUUUAUUUACAUAAUCUUUUAAGGGAAAGUGUAUCUAAUUGGAUAUAUUGAUACAUUUAAACAUUUCUUCUCAGUUUAACAAAAAAUACUAAUGUUGGAUUAAGUGGGGAAAUUCAACUUAAGAAUGGACAGCUGCAACAACAGCUAGCAUUUGAAAUAGUGAAUCUUUUUGGAAGAGUCAAGAGAAUAAGAUUUUGGACCCAAUUUAGGGUGCGUUUGGGAGAAGCUUUCGAAGGGGCUUUGGGCAUCAAAAGCCCCUUGGGCCAAAAUAAGAGUGUUUGGGAGAAACUUUGGAAGUCUCUUAAUGGCAAAGCUGGUAUUUGUAAGGCUGAUCAGCUUUCUUGGCAUGUCCAUGCGGUACUGUUCAUUUUUUUUUUUUUUUCAGAAAUUGUCCUCAUAAAUUUUUUAUUUUUCCAUUUUUUCCCCUCCGUCGUGAUCCCGACAACCUAGGCAAUCGUCGUCAGAGAGUCGGGCAACCUCCGCGAGUUGCGGCAUUGUGUGACCCUUCGUGAGUUGCGGCAACUCAACGACCAUGGUGAGGGGCCACCUGGCGAGUCGCGACUCAAAUUUGGGUUGCCCCGACCCAGAUCCUCGCAGAUCUGAGUCGCCCAACCCCAGCGAGCCGCAGUGGCCCAAAUUUGGGUCGCGGCAACUCAGAUUUGAGUCACCACGACCCAAAUCCUUACCGAUCUGGGUCGCGCGACCCUCAACGAGCCAUCUAGUCGCAAAUCUGGUUGCGACCAGAUGCAGUCGCCAACAACCGUCACGUGCCGCAUUGCGACCUCUGCACAAAGGUCGCCGAGGCCCCUCAACCCAUCUAGUCGCAGGUCUAGUCAUGACCAGAUCUGGUGUCGGAGACUCGAGCGGCGACCAGAUCUACAACUAGAUGGGUUGCGACCUUAGAUCCGAUCGCCUGUGACCCUCUAGCAAGCGUCACGCAAUCCUCGCAGGAUUGCCUAUCUCUGCCGGACGGCUUGCAUCGGACUAUUCGCCCUUCACUAGACCGUCUGCUCCUUGCUGGCGACUACUUAUUCUUGGCCGGCCAAUUCUCAUUUUCAUUUUUCUGUUUUUUAAUAACAAAAGUCUUUUGCAAACAUAAUUUUUCUAAACCCCAUUUUACUCAAAGGCGACUUUCAAAGUAUAAUUUACCAAAUACAGUUUGCAUUUUGAAAAAUUCAUUUAAUUUAAAGGCCUUUGCAUUUUCCCAAAGUUUUCCCUAAAGCCUUUUCAAACGCACCCAUGAUGAAGAAUAGCUCGAUGGAAAGGGUGCCGAACGGGAGAGUGCCAACACCAAGGACUAACAACCGAGAUGGGUAUUUCUGAGGUGGGAUUUCCCUAGGAAUUUGGUUAGUCCUCACAGGUAUUCGAUCUGGGGAGCUUUCGCUCCGAGAUAUCCACCAAAAAGAGUAAGCGGAACUGAUAUGCAGAACCAGAGCAACAGCAGGAUAACGAAAGAGAAAACGGGAUAGCUCCAGUGCUGUGACUACCCCACAAGCGAAAAUUCAGAACAGUCAGGAUCAAAAACGCUAUACCGGGGAAGAAGCACGACACCCAUCCCUUGUGAUCACCAGAGCUGAUGGUCCUCCAAAGUCGUACAGCAACAUAACCAGCAACAACACCAAGAAUCAUGUAGAAGAACAGCAUAUCUCUCGAUCCGCGUCAAAUCUGGACGAACCCAGUUGCGAAAGCAAGAUAAUCAGGCAAUGCAAAGAGCAAACCCCCAUCUGGGUUCGACGAUAUCACUCAUGAACGGCAUCAACACGCACAAAAAACGACUAAAAACACACAGCAAAAGAUCCCGACUCGCACUAGCAGCUGCUCGAACACCUAGAAAGAUCAAGAAACGACAACAGAACAAGCGCGCACGAAUGUCGCGAAGGGCACUGCAGAUCUGACUGACCUUCUAUAAAGGAACGCGCAUAGAGAGGGAGGGAGAGAGCAGGGGAGACUCGGGGGCAACCACAACGCCAGAAAGGUUAAAUCUUUGGCCUUUAUUUAUUGCUGGGGAUGGAGGAAGUCGAGAAGAUGCGAGACGCGAUGAUAUUUCUAGGAUCCGUCCGAUGGCGGUUUGACGCCUUUGCGUGAGCACGCUGAAAUGGGGAAUAACGUACCGCGGGGGGCACACUCCUACUGCCGAUUCUUUCCCCCUUCCCCUCUCUCUCUCUCUCUCUCUCUCUCUCUUUCUUUUCUCCCCUUUUUCCUCCUCACGUCACUUCCAAAUCCCCCCUCCCGCCCCCCAACCCAAAUCUAGAACCGAUGUUAUUGAUUCCAUCGUCUCUGUUAGAGACUUCAUGGGGGCUUCCUUUAAGAACUUCAGAGAUCAAUUCCUUCUGCAAGUGCACAAUGCCCUCAUGCGAUUCAAUUUCUCGGAUAUCAGCUAAGAAACCAUGGCGCUCAAAUUGGCUUGACAGUUUAUUGUAGAUGACUUUGGUAAGAGUAUCUCCGAGUAUCUCUGAAUUUAGUAUCUACCAUAGUCAUAAUUUUUUUCACAUGAAUGCCCACUCCCACCAAGUGUUUAGGGGUCACUAACUUAAAAGCUUUCUUUAACUCGCUCAAAACCUUCACAACAACCGCUUUUAUGAGCUCUGCCUCAUUCCUGUCAAAAUGGUGUUAUGAUUGAGAUCAUGAACAAAUAUAAUGAGUACAACUUACUAGAACAAACUCAGACAAUAAGCAACAAGAUGAAUUGGCAAAUUCAUAAUGGUCGAUAGUCUAAACAACUAUUGUACUUUGCCAUAUAUUAAUCAGCUUAUAUGAAAAAGGGAUUUGGAAGUACCCAUUAGCAAUAUUUUCGGAUACCAGUCCUUUCAAGGAUCCAACUUCUAUGAGUGCUUGUCUCCAUUCCUGAACAACGCUAUCCUCAAAACGCUGCUUGUAUGAAUUGAAGACAUCUCCAAAGGUUCCUUUGAGCCACUUCACAUCUGCGGGCUCUACUUUAUAGUAUAUGGGCAAGAUCACUUGUUUCAUCUCUUUCUUGCACUUGAGUAUCCGAACGAGCUCAAUAAUGCACCAUUUGCUGGAAGCAUAGCAUUCCGAAAGAACUGGGGUCGAGAUCUUGCUGUUGUCAAUGGCCCAGAAAAGCCGUGGGCCAAUUUCCUCUCCUAGAGGGAGCUCGUCAUUGUCUCUGAACACGCGAACUCUCGCUUCUUGGAGUCGCUCGUAGAGGUGGCUCGUAAAGCCCUUGCGAGAGUCUGGACCUCUGAAGCUUAAGAACACAUCGGGUGCGCAUGGAUUUAUUUCUGUGCUUUUUUUGUUCUUGGGAACAAAAACAAAAAAAAGUGUUUCUGUUCCGGGGAACAAUUUUUGAACAAAAGAACGCGUUUGGUAACGUUUGGUCCGGGAAUAAAAAUUGAACAGAAACACGUUUGGUUAAAUUUUAUUAUUUUUUUGUUUCUUUUAAUUUUUUAAACAUUUUUUAUUAUUUUUUAUUUUUUCCUUUCUUUUUAUUUUUUCUUUUUUUCGGCCGGUCACCGGCCUCCGGCGACCGGCCGACGGGGCCGGCAGCCUCGCCCAGCCACGGCGAGGCCGAGCCUGGCCGUGGUUGGGCGAGGCUCGGCUCUCCCCUUUGGCUGGCUGAGCUCAGCCUCGCCGGAUCUGGGCGAGGCCGAGCCUCGACGGCCGGUCGCCGGCCAUGGCCGAGGCCGGCGACCGGCCAAAGAAAAAAUAAGAAAAAAAAGAAGAAAAGAAGAAGAGAAGAAGAAGAGAGAGAAGAGUCGUUUUUGUUCUUUUUUUUCUUCCGAGAAGUGUUUCUUUUCUGGAGAAACAACUUUUUUUUGUUUCUUUUUUCUGUUCCUAUUUCGUUCCAGAAACAAAAAAACAAAAAAGGAACAAAAACGCAACCAAACGCGUUUCUGUUCCUUUUUUGUUCCCGAGCACACUUUCCGUACAAAAGUGUGCCAGAAACGUUUCUUAGAAACGUUUCCAUGCACGCCCAUCAUAAUCACAUCCUGGUGAAGCAUCCGAUGAAACUGGGAACUCGGAAACCGGCUUCUCCCUGAAGGCUAUCGCCGUUCCGUUCAUAUUCAGAAAUUCUAAGAGGAUGAAAACCGAAAGCAAGACUACUCGGAUGUGAAACCACAGCAAAAGAAUGAAAGAUCUGAGGAUACAGAUUUCCUCUCUUUCUAUAAUGUACUCGCGUAUUAAAUUUAAUGGAGGGAAACAAGUCAAGGUCCAUCCUGGAGGUGUCCUACCAGACA